AAAAAAGAUAAAAUUAUUACAUUCCAAUCUAUACUAUAAUUAAGUACAAGUUUGCAAUAAAUGAAAAAAAUAACAAAAUUUGAUAUAACACUAAUAAUAAUAUAUUCUACAAAGUUAUAAGAAUUAAAAAAAUUCAAUAUGAAAUUAAUAUAAUAGGGCAUUUUCCUUAAAGAAAUAUUACGUUGAAAUUCAUAAUAUGACUAUAUACAAACUUGCAAUAAAAAAUAAGAGUAGCAAACAAUGAUAUAUUACUAAUGAUGACAUGUUUAUCAAGCUUGAAUUUGGACAAAUACUUCUC
This 298-nucleotide long non-coding RNA is filed under the name Solanum tuberosum (potato). Its description in RNAcentral is "long non-coding RNA (STUB_LNC005671)". The record is from RNAcentral. Lineage: Eukaryota; Viridiplantae; Streptophyta; Magnoliopsida; Solanales; Solanaceae.